Molecule: non-coding RNA, 103 nt
Filed under: Roseateles depolymerans
Lineage: Bacteria; Pseudomonadati; Pseudomonadota; Betaproteobacteria; Burkholderiales; Sphaerotilaceae
Description: SAH sequence
Rfam family: SAH (S-adenosyl-L-homocysteine) riboswitch aptamer
Source: Rfam by way of RNAcentral
CGUUCCGAGGAGCGUUGCGAUGGGGCCCCACCCGCGGCAUCCACCAGGCUCGGACGGGCGGCCCGCACCCCUUGUGGCCGCACAACAACGGCGCUCACCGACC